This 506-nucleotide ribosomal RNA is filed under the name uncultured bacterium. RNAcentral's name for it is "partial 16S ribosomal RNA". It matches the Rfam family "Bacterial small subunit ribosomal RNA", at positions 29 to 523 of the family's 1533-position model. The record is from RNAcentral.
AGUGAACGCUGGCGGUAGGCCUAACACAUGCAAGUCGAACGGCAGCACAGGAGAGCUUGCUCUCUGGGUGGCGAGUGGCGGACGGGUGAGGAAUACAUCGGAAUCUACUUUUUCGUGGGGGAUAACGUAGGGAAACUUACGCUAAUACCGCAUACGACCUACGGGUGAAAGCAGGGGACCUUCGGGCCUUGCGCGAUUGAAUGAGCCGAUGUCGGAUUAGCUAGUUGGCGGGGUAAAGGCCCACCAAGGCGACGAUCCGUAGCUGGUCUGAUAGGAUGAUCAGCCACACUGGGACAGAGACACGGUCCAGACUCCGACGGGAGGCAGCAGUGGGGAAUAUUGGACAAUGGGCGCAAGCCUGAUCCAGCCAUACCGCGUGGGUGAAGAAUGCAUUCGGGUUGUAAAGCCCUUUUGUUAGGAAAGAAAUCCAGCUGGCUAAUACCCGGUUGGGAUGACGGUACCCAAAGAAUAAGCACCGGCUAACUUCGUGCCAGCCGCCGCGGUAA